This 585-nucleotide ribosomal RNA is filed under the name uncultured bacterium. Its description in RNAcentral is "partial 16S ribosomal RNA". It matches the Rfam family "Bacterial small subunit ribosomal RNA", at positions 355 to 1375 of the family's 1533-position model. The record is from RNAcentral.
UGGGGAAUUUUGGACAAUGGGCGAAAGCCUGAUCCAGCAAUGCCGCGUGUGUGAAGAAGGCCUUCGGGUUGUAAAGCACUUUUGUCCGGAAAGAAAUCCUCUGGGUUAAUACCUCGGGGAGAUGACGGUACCGGAAGAAUAAGCACCGGCUAACUACGUGCCAGCAGCCGCGGUAAUACGUAGGGUGCAAGCGUUAAUCGGAAUUACUGGGCGUAAAGCGUGCGCAGGCGGUUUUGUAAGACGGAUGUGAAAUCCCCGGGCUUAACCUGGGAACUGCAUUCGUGACUGCAAGGCUAGAGUAUGGCAGAGGGGGGUAGAAUUCCACGUGUAGCAGUGAAAUGCGUAGAGAUGUGGAGGAAUACCGAUGGCGAAGGCAGCCCCCUGGGCCAAUACUGACGCUCAUGCACGAAAGCGUGGGGAGCAAACAGGAUUAGAUACCCUGGUAGUCCACGCCCUAAACGAUGUCAACUAGUUGUUGGGGAUUCAUUUCCUUAGUAACGUAGCUAACGCGUGAAGUUGACCGCCUGGGGAGUACGGUCGCAAGAUUAAAACUUAAAGGAAUUGACGGGGUCAUAGCUGUUUCCU